Molecule: long non-coding RNA, 639 nt
Filed under: Dromaius novaehollandiae (emu)
Lineage: Eukaryota; Metazoa; Chordata; Aves; Casuariiformes; Dromaiidae
Description: lncRNA (ENSDNVG00000018148.1)
Source: RNAcentral
GUGGAAGAGACUGAGCAUGCRCGGAGAGGAACGGAGGAGAGCUAAGGGUGGAGAGGAGUCCUGGGAAUCACAGUUCGCCUGAGGGGGAAGCAAGGAAAGGUGAGUGCUCAAGGAGAGGAAYGGAGGAGUUCUCAAAAAUCGGGAAUGUGCCUGGAGAGGAUCUGAACUCACACAGAGCGCCGUGCUGGGGAGGUCAUUCUGGGGUUUCUGUACUGCAAAUGUGGAAGCUUCAACCCCAUCCACAGCCGUCAGAAGCAGCAAAGCAGGAGACGCCGAUGUCGGGAGGCAGCAGACGUUAAUCCAGGCAGGCCAGGAAAGGCUGUUAACCAGAAGGGAAGAGUGGGUAUGUUGGUGUCCCCUGCACGCAGCCUCUCUCCCCUUGAGUGGAGGGCAGGAACCACCGAGCUCCACAUCAUGCGCAGAGCACCGCGAGUCCCUGUGCCCCAGCGCUGCAGAUCUAGYGCGUCGAAUCGCCAGUGCAACAGAGCCCAGCGCGGCAACGACACKUCUUACUGCUGGCUCUGCACCGGAGACACCGGGCUGAAGCAGAAAAGGAGGAAAAGACCUGAUCCUGGUCAGCGCUGGCAUUUCGCACCGGAGCUGGCCGAGCAGCGUGCGUCUGCGUGCAGGAGGCAGUGA